RNAcentral lists this ribosomal RNA (448 nucleotides) under uncultured bacterium. RNAcentral describes it as "SSU rRNA". It matches the Rfam family "Bacterial small subunit ribosomal RNA", at positions 26 to 518 of the family's 1533-position model. The record is from RNAcentral.
AGAACGAACGCUGGCGGCAGGCUUAACACAUGCAAGUCGAACGGUUGUAGCAAUACAGCAGUGGCAGACGGGUGAAUAACACGUGGGAACCUUCCUCGUAGUACGGAACAACUCAGGGAAACUUGAGCUAAUACCGUAUACGUCCGAGAGGAGAAAGAUUUAUCGCUAUGAGACGGGCCCGCGUCCGAUUAGCUAGUUGGUGGGGUAACGGCCUACCAAGGCAACGAUCGGUAGCUGAUCUGAGAGGAUGAUCAGCCACACUGGGACUGAGACACGGCCCAGACUCCUACGGGAGGCAGCAGUGGGGAAUCUUGGACAAUGGGCGCAAGGCCUGAUCCAGCCAUGCCGCGUGAGUGAAGAAGGCCUUAGGGUUGUAAAGCUCUUUUGGCAGGGACGAUAAUGACGGUACCUGCAGAAUAAGCCCGGCAAACUUCGUGCCAGCAGCCGC